This 279-nucleotide ribosomal RNA is filed under the name Pseudo-nitzschia calliantha. RNAcentral describes it as "5.8S ribosomal RNA". The stretch from base 12 to 166 matches the Rfam family "5.8S ribosomal RNA". From Rfam's summary of the family: 5.8S ribosomal RNA (5.8S rRNA) is a component of the large subunit of the eukaryotic ribosome. It is transcribed by RNA polymerase I as part of the 45S precursor that also contains 18S and 28S rRNA. The record is from RNAcentral. Lineage: Eukaryota; Bacillariophyta; Bacillariophyceae; Bacillariales; Bacillariaceae.
UAAUGACUUACAACUUUCAGCGGUGGAUGUCUAGGUUCCCACAACGAUGAAGAACGCAGCGAAAUGCGAUACGUAAUGCGAAUUGCAAGACCUCGUGAAUCAUUAAAAUUUUGAACGCACAUUGCGCUUUCGGGAUUUUCCCGGGAGCAUACUUGUCUGAGUGUCUGUGGAUCCCACUCAGCGCUGGUGUUAUUGUUAUCAUCGGUUGCUGGUUGCUUUGGCUUUGACGGUGGUUGCUGCUCCAGUAGCCAGCCGCUGCUGUCUUUGCUUAAAUUCUAC